Haliotis rufescens (red abalone) is the source of this 1923-nucleotide RNA transcript. It is a transcript of the gene named calmodulin-4-like, with no coding region annotated. Lineage: Eukaryota; Metazoa; Mollusca; Gastropoda; Lepetellida; Haliotidae. The transcript is spliced from 14 exons. The record is from RefSeq and is a predicted model, not a curated record.
AAUAACUCUACCUUAUCAAAUCAUACCUAUAUAAUGUCUGCAAGGGGUUGACAUCGUUCUAGUUUCCUGAAGACAUUCUCUGAACAUAUUUAAUGUUGGGUGUUAUUCUUCUGACGCUCGUGGCCAGUGCGCUAGGCGCUCCUACCACCCCAGCCGGAGGUUCGACAACUCGGGAUCUGAUUGCUGCUGGCACUUCUUCCUUCAACGCUCUUGACAAGAACAAAAACGGCCAUGUGGAAGUUUCAGAGUUUUUAAUUUCAUUUGACAAGUCUGACACAAACCAUGACAAUGAGAUGUCAAUCCAAGAGUACGUUCAGUACAGACAUGCCACCAAGACCUUUACUCAGGCACUCUACAAAUUCCUUGACACGGACCAUGACGGCAGCGUAAGCCGAGCAGAGAUGAUCAGACUCUUCAGGCUCUACGACGGCAACAACGACGGUGUUAUUACUCUUCCAGAAUUUAUUAGCCGAUAUUUGAAGAUGGUGGAUAUAGUUGCAAAAAACCUGUCUCAAUGACAAGCUAUUCCCGCAUCAACAGCCUCCACCUGAAUCUUGCUGUGAACAAAUGGGCUCCUACUUCAGGAUAAACCAACACCCUGUGCGGAAUAAAGGUGAAUUCCAUAAGGGGAAUAAUCAUUGCUCCCAGUGUGGACACCCCCUCUUCCUGUAUAACCACUGUCCCCUGUGUGAAGGUGUCUCUACCCUGGUAAAAUCACUCUGCCCAUGUCGACGCCGCUCUCUUCCGGUAUAUCCACUGCCCCCAUGUGUAGACGCGACCCUCUUCCAGUAUAACCAUUGUCCCACGUGUGAACGUGUUCCUCUCCUGGUUAAACUACUGUCACAAGUGUGGACGCCCCCUCUUCCGGUAUAACCACUGUGCCACUGUGACCUCACAUUGCUACAUUGUGGAAAAUUAUCCGUCAAUAAUCGAUCAUAAUGUCACAAAUGGAUUAUUUGGUCAUGUGAACAAGGGAAGUGUCUCUGGUCUUCGCGACCCGUGAAGAUCCGGGGUAGAAUAAGUCUUCAGCAACCCACGCUUGCCGUAAAAGGUGACUCUGCUUGUCGUAAGAGGCGACCAACGGGAUCGGGUGGUCAGGGUCGCUGACUUGGUUGAUGCAUUAGCUAUAGUCUCUGGCCAUCACACUUUAACGCCACAAAACCUUAUCUGAAAGAAUACAUUUUAAUUACUCGGUAAAAACAGUUCACCAUGACACAGCUGAAAUUUUGCUGUCUGAAAAACUUGUUUUCAUGACCAAAUGUCAAUUUCGUUCAAUUUUUAUAACCUCUGUUCCGAAAAUAACUCUACCUUAUCAAAUCAUACCUAUAUAAUGUCUGCAAGGGGUUGACAUCGUUCUAGUUUCCUGAAGACAUUCUCUGAACAUAUAUAAUGUUGGGUGUUAUUCUUCUGAUGCUCGUGGCCAGUGCGCUAGGCGCUCCUACCACCCCAGCCGGAGGUUCGACAACUCGGGAUCUGAUUGCUGCUGGCACUUCUUCCUUCAACGUUCUUGACAAGAACAAAAACGGCCAUGUGGAAGUUUCAGAGUUUUUAAUUUCAUUUGACGAGUCUGACACUAACCAUGACAAUGAGAUGUCAAUCCAAGAGUACGUUCAGUUCAGACAUGCCACCAAGACCUUUACUCAGGCACUCUACAAAUUCCUUGACACGGACCAUGACGGCAGCGCAAGCCGAGCAGAGAUGAUCAGACUCUACAGGCUCUACGACGGCAACAAGGACGGUAUUGUUACUCUUCCAGAAUUUAUUAGGGGAUAUUUGAAGAUUAUGGAUAUAGUCGCAAAAAACCUGUCUCAAUGACAAGCUAUCCCCGCAUCAACAGCAUCAACCUAAAUCUUGCUGUGGACAAAUGGGCUCACGCUUCAGGAUAAACAAACAUCCUGUGCGUAAUAAAGGCUUCUACUGGUU